Molecule: non-coding RNA, 232 nt
Filed under: Companilactobacillus ginsenosidimutans
Lineage: Bacteria; Bacillati; Bacillota; Bacilli; Lactobacillales; Lactobacillaceae
Description: Lactobacillus ginsenosidimutans T-box sequence
Rfam family: T-box leader
About the family: Uncharged tRNA acts as the effector for transcription antitermination of genes in the T-box leader family. T-boxes are found upstream of many aminoacyl-tRNA synthetase genes and some amino acid biosynthetic genes usually in Gram-positive bacteria.
Source: RNAcentral
CAUAGGAUUUUAAAAAGAAGAAGUACUAUUUACUCAAUUCUCAGUGAGUUAAGGACAGUGCAAACUUAACAUGCGGGUAUUUACGAAUAACAUCUUUUUACUUCGGCCUGAACUAACAGUAGGGUUUGACGGAGCUGACACGUUAUAGUCAGUAAGCAUGUUUGUGCUUGUAGAGAUGUUUUCGUAUGAAAACAAUUUGGGUGGUACCGCGGAAAGACCUUUCGUCCCUUUU